GCCGGCCGGGCUACUGAGCAUGCCCGGCACGGCGACAGCUGCCAAACUAAAGGACUUUAAGCUGCGGUUAAGCACUGAUUUCCCUUCCUAGGGGCCUAGCGUGAAAUGGGAGGGAACUAGCCAAGAGAGAGGAGGUGUAGCCCAUUUUACAGAUGGGGACACUGAGGCCCGGCAGGAUUCACGUAUGGUAAACUACCCAAGGACAGCAGAGAAGAGGGAAUACAUGCUCCCAGACAGGAUGGGCAAGGAGCCCUAAGUGGGCUUACUAACUGCUCCCCCUAUCUCCCAGGAUUGUUGACAAGACCAGAUGAGACAAUGCAUGUGAAAUACAUCAAAAGUACAUCUACAUGUGGAACAACUCCUACAGAACACCUACUGAUGCUGGCAGAAGACCUCAGACUUCCCAAAAGGCAAGAAACUCCCCACAUACCUGGGUAGGGCAAAAGAAAAAAGAAAAAACAGAAACAAAAGAAUAGGGAAGGGACCUGCACCUCUGGGAGGGAGCUGUGAAGGAGGAAAUGUUUCCAUGCACUAGGAAGUCCCUUCACUGGCGGAGAAGGGGGGAUGGGUGGGGGGAAGCUUCAGAACCACAGAGGAGAGCACAGCAACAGGGGUGCAGAGGGCAAAGCAGAGAGAUUCCUGCACAGAGGGGAUCACUGCUGACUAGUACUCACCAGCCUGAGAGGCUUGUCUGCUCACCCACUGGGGUGGGUGGGGGCUGGGAGCUGAGGCUUGGCUUCGGAGGUCAGAUCCCAGGGAGAGGACUGGGGUUGGCUUUGCGAACACAGCCUAAUUUGUUUUUGGUUUUAUGUUUAUCUUAGUUCAGUAUUUAGAGCUUAUUAUAACUGGUAGAUUUGUUUAUUGAUAUGGUUGCUCUCUUCCUUUUUUUUUUUUUUUUCCCCUGGUACAUGGGCCUCUCACUGUUGUGGCCUCUCCCAUUGCGGAGCACAGGCUCUGGAUGCGCAGGCUCAGUGGCCAUGGCCAUGGCUCACGGGCCCAACCGCUCCACGGCAUGUGGGAUCUUCCUGGACUGGGGCACGAACCCAUGUCCCCUGCAUCAGCAGGUGGACUCUCAACCACUGCGCUGCCAGGGAAGCCCUCUUCCUUUUUUUAUAUAUAUAUAUUUUUCCUUUUUCUCUUUUUCUGAGUGUGUAUGUGUAUGCUUCUUUGUGUGAUUUGUCUGUAUAGGUUAGCUUUUACCAUUUGUCCUAGGGUCUGUCUCUCUGUCUUUUUUAGUCAAGAUUUUAGUGCUUGUUAUAAUUGGUGGAUUUAUUUAUUGGUUUGGUUGCUCCCUUCUAUUUUUAAAUUACUUUUUAAUUUUAAUACUUUUUAACUGUUUAUUUUAAUAACUUUAUUUUAUUUAUUUUCUUUCUUUCUUUCUUAUUUUUUUCUUUUCUCCCUUUUCUUCUGAGCCAUGUGGCUGACAGUGUGUUGGUGCUCUGGCAGGGUAUCAGGCCUGAGCCUCUGAGGUGUGAGAACCAAGUUCAGGACAUUGGUCCACCAGAGACCUCCCAGUCCCUCAUAAUAUCAAUUGGCAAGAGCCCUCCCAGAGAUCUCUGUCUCAACACUAAGACCCAGCUCCACUCAAUGACCAGCAAGCUCCAGUUCUGGACACCCCAUGCCAAACAACUAGCAAGACAGGAACACAUCCCAACCCAUUAGCGGAGAGGCUGCCUAAAAUCAGCAGGUUCACAGACACCCCAAAACAUACCACCGGACGCAGUCCUGCCCACCAGAGAGACAAGAUCCAACCCCAUCUAUCAGAACACAGGCACCAGUCCCCUCCACCAGGAAGCCUAAACAAAGCAUUGAACCAACCUUAGCCACUGGGGCAGACACCAAAAACAAUGGGAACUACGAACCUGCAGCCUGUGAAAAGGAGACCCCAAACACAGUAAGUUAAGCAAAAUGAGAAGACAGAGAAACACACAACAGAUGAAGGAGCAAGGUAAAAACCCACCAGACCUAACAAAUGAAGAGGAAAGAGGCAGUCUACCUGAAAAAAGAAUUCAAGUAAUGAUAGUACAGAUGGUCCAAAAUCUUGGAAAUAGAAGGGAGAAAAUACAAGAAACGUUUAACAAGGACCUAGAAGAACUAAAGAGCAAACAAACAAUGAUGAACAACACAAUAAAUGAAAUUACAAAUUCUCUAGAAGGGAUCAAUAGCAGAAUAACUGAGGCAGAAGAAUGGAUAAGUGACCUGGAAGAUAAAAUAGUGGAAAUAACUACCACAGAGCAGAAUAAAGAAAAAAGAAUGAAAAGAAAUGAGGACAGUCUCAGAGACCUCUGGGACAACAUUAAAUGCACAAACAUUAGAAUUAUAGGGGUCCCAGAAGAAGAAGAGAAAAAGAAAGGGACUAAGGAAAUAUUUGAAGAGAUUAUAGUUGAAAACUUCCCUAAUAUGGGAAAGGAAAUAGUCAAUCAAGUCCAUGAAGUGCAGAGAGUCCCAUACAGGAUAAAUCCAAGGAGAAACACACCAAGACACAUACUAAUCAAACUGUCAAAAAUUAAAUACAAAGAAGAAAUAUUAAAAGCAGCAAAGGAAAAGCAACAAAUAACAUACAAGGGAAUCCCCACAAGGUUAACACCUGAUCUUUCAGAAGAAACUCUGCAAGCCAGAAGGGAGUGGCAGGACAUAUUUAAAGGGAUGAAAGGGAAAAACCCACAACUAAGAAUACUCUACCCAGCAAGGUUCUCAUUCAGAUUCGAAGGAGAAAUUAAAACCUUUACAGACAAGCAAAAGCUAAGAGAAUUUCGCACUACCAAAACAGCUUUACAACAAAUGCUAAAGGAACUUCUCUAGGCAGGAAACACAAGAGAAGGAAAAAACAAUAACAAACCCAAAACGAUUAAGAAAAUGGGAAUAGGAACAUACUUAUCGAUAAUUACCUUAAAUGUAAAUGGAUUAAACGCUCCAACCCAAAGACACAAACUGGCUGAAUGGAUAGAAAAACAAGACCUGAAUUUAUGCUGCCUACAAGAGACUCACUUCAGACCUAGGGACACACACAGACUGAAAGUGAGGGUAUAGAAAAAGGUGUUCCAUGGAAAUGGAAGUCAAAAGAAAGCUGGAGUAGCAAUUCUCAGAUCAGAAAAAAUAGACUUUAAAAUAAAGACUAUUACAAUAGACAGAGGACACUACAUAAUGAUCAAGGGAUCAAUCCAAGAAGAAGUAUAACAAUUGUAAAUAUUUAUGCACCCAACAUAGGAGCACCUCCAUACAUAAGGCAAAUGCUAACAGCCAUAAAAGGGGAAAUCGACAGUAACACAAAAAUAGUAGGUGACUUUAACAGCCCACUUUCACCAAUGGACAGAUCAUCCAAAAUGAAAAUAAAAAAGGAAGCACAAGCUUUAAAUGACACAUUAAACAGAUGGACUUAAUUGAUAUUUAUAGGACCUUCUAUCCAAAGACAACAGAAUACAAUUUCUUCUCAAGUGCUCAUGGAACAUUCUCCAGGGUAGAUCAUAUCUUGGGUCACAAAUCAAGCUUGAGAAAUUUAAGAAAAUUGAAAUCGUAUCAAACAUCUUUUCCGAGCACAACACUGUAAGACUAGAUAUCAAUUAUAGGAAAAAACUGUACAAAAUACAAACACAUGGAGACUAAACAAUGCACUACUAAAUAAAAAAGAGGUCACUAAAGAAAUCAAAGAGGAAAACAAAAAAUACCUAGAAACAAAUGACAAUGAAAGCACAACAACCCAAAACCUAUUGGAUGCAUCAAAAGCAGUUCUAAGAGAGAAGUUUAUAACAAUAUAAUCCUAGAAACAAGAGACAUCUCAAAUAAACAACAUAACCUUACACCUAAAGCAAUUAGAGAAACAAGAAUAAAAAAAAACCCAAAGCUAGCAGAAGGAAAGAAAUCAUAAAGAUCAGAUUGAAAGUAAAUGAAAAAGAAAUAAAGGAAAUGAUAGCAAAUAUCAAUAAAACUAAAAGCUGGUUCUUUGAGAAGAUAAACAAAAUUGAGAAACCAUUAGCCAGACUCAUCAAGAAAAAGAGGGAGAGGACUCAAAUCAUUAAAUUUAGAAAUGAAAAAGGAGAAGUUACAACUGACACUGCAGAAAUACAAAGAAUCAUGAGAUUACUACAAGCAACUCUAUGCUAAUAAAAUGGACAACCUGGAAGAAAUGGGCAAAUUCUUAGAAAAGCACAACCUUCCGAGACUAAACCAGGAAGAAAUAAAUGUUAUAAACAGAACAAUCACAAGCACUGAAAUUGAAACUGUGAUUAAAAAUCUUCCAACAAACAAAAGCCCAGGACAAGAUGUCUUCACAAGCGAAUUCUAUCAAACAUUUAGGGAAGAGCUAACACCUAUCCUUCUCAAACUCUUCCAAAAUAUAGCAGAAGGAGGAGCACUCCCAAACUCAUUCUACGAGGCCACCAUCACCCUGAGACCAAAACGAGACAAAGAUGUCACAAAAAAAGAAAACUACAGGCCAAUAUCACUGAUGAACAUAGAUGCAAAAUUCCUCAACAAAAUACUAGCAUGCAGAAUCCAACAUCACAUUACAAGGAUCAUACAUUAUGAUCAAGUGGGGUUUAUCCCAGGAAUGGAAGGUUUCUUUAAUAUACGCAAAUCAAUCAAUGUGAUACACCAUAUUAACAAAUUGAAGGAGAAAAACCAUAUAAUCCUCUCAAUAGAUGCAGAGAAAGCUUUGGACAAAAUUCAACACCCAUUUAUGAUAGAAACCCUCCAGAAAGUAGGCAUAGAGGGAACUUACGUCAACGUAAUAAAGGCCAUAUAUGACAAACCCACAGCCAACUUCGCUCUCAAUCAUGAAAAGCUGAAACCAUUUCCUCUAAGAUCAGGAACAAGAUAAGGCUGCCCACUCUCACCACUAUUAUUCAACAUAGUUUUGGAAGUUUUAGCCACAGCAAUCAGAGAAGGAAAAGAAAUAAAAGGAAUACAAAUUGGAAAAGAAGAAGUGAAACUGUCACUGUUUGCAGAUGACAUGAUACUGUACAUAGAUAAUCUAAAGAUGUUACCAGAAAACUGCUAGAGCUAAUCAAUGAAUUUAGUAAAGUAGCAGGAUACAAAAUUAAUGCAUAGAAAUCUCUUGCAUUCCUAUACACUAAUGAUGAAAAAUCUGAAAGAGCAAUUAAGGAAACACUCCCAUUUACCAUUGCAGCAAAAAGAAUAACAUACAUAGGAAUAAACCUACCUAAGGAGACAAAAGACCUGUAUGCAGAAAAUUAUAAGACACUGAUGAGAGAAAUUAAAGAUACAAACAGAUGGAGAGAUAUACCAUGUUGUUGGAUUGGAAGAAUCAACACUGUGAAAAUGACUAUACUACCCUAAGCAAUCUACAAAUUCAAUGCAAUCCCUAUCAAACUACCACUGGCAUUUUUCACAGAACUAGAACAAAAAAUUUCACAAUUUGUAUGGAAACACAAAAGACCCUGAAUAGCGAAAGCAAUCUUGAGAACGAAAAACGGAGCUGUAGGAAUCAGGCUCCCUGACUUCAGACUAUACUACAAAGCUACAGUAAUCAAGACAGUAUGAUACUGGCACAAAAACAGAAAUAUAGAUCAAUGGAACAGGAUAGAAAGCCAGAGAUAAACCCACGCACAUAUGGUCACCUUAUCUUUGAUAAAGGAGGCAAGAAUAUACAAUGGAGAAAAGACAGCCUCUUAAAUAAGUGGUGCUGGCAAAACUGGACAGCUACAUGUUAAAGAAUGAAAUUAGAUCACUUCUUAACACCAUACACAAAAAUAAACUCAAAAUGGAUUAAAGACCAAAAUGUAAGGCCAAAGAAUAUAAACCUCUUAGAGGAAAACAUAGGCAGAACACUCUAUGACAUAAAUCACAGUAAGAUCCUUUUUGACCCAUAUCCUAUAGAAAUGGAAGUAAAAACAAAAAUAUAGAAAUGGGACCUAAUGCAACUUAAAAGCUUUUGCACAGCAAGGAAACCAUAAACAAGAUGAAGACAACCCUCAGAAUGGGAGAAAAUAUUUGCAAAUGAAGCAACUGACAAAGGAUUAACCUCCAAACUAUACAAGCAGCUCAUGCAGCUCAAUAUCAAAGAAACAAACAACCCAAUCCAAAAAUGGGCAGAAGACCUAAAAAGACAUUUCUCCAAAGGAGAUAUACAGAUUGCCAAUAAACACAUGAAAGGAUGCUCAACAUCACUAAUCAUUGGAGAAAUGCAAAUCAAAACUACAAUGAGGUACCACCUCACACAGGUCAGAAUGGCCAUCAUCAAAAAGUCUACAACAGUAAAUGGUGGAGAGGGUGUGGAGAAAAGGGAACCCUCUUGCACUGUUGGUGGGAAUGUAAAUUGGUACAGCCACUAUGGAGAACAGUAUGGAGGUUCCUUAAAAAUCUAACAAUAGAACUACCAUACGACCCAGCAAUCCCACUACUGGGUAUAUACCCUGAGAAAACCAUAAUUCAAAAAGAGUCAUGUACCACAAUGUUCAUUGUAGCACUAUUUACAAUAGCCAGGACAUGGAAGCAACCUAAGUGUCCACUGACAGAUUACUGGAUAAAGAAGAUGUGGCAUCUAUAUACAAUGGAAUAUUACUCAGCCAUAAAAAGAAACAGAAUUGAGUUAUUUGUAGUGAGGUGGAUGGACCUAGAGUCUGUCAUACAGUGUCAAGUAAGUCAGAAAGAGAAAAACAAAUACAGUAUGGUAACACAUAUAUAUGGAGUCUAAAAAAAACAAAAAAACAAAAAACAAAUGGUUUUGACGAACCUAGGAGCAGGACAGGAAUAAAGAUGCUGAAGUAGAGAAUGGACUUGAGGACACGGGAAGGGGGAAGGGUAAGCUGGGACAAAGUGAGAGAGUGGCAUGGACAUAUAUAUGUACUACCAAAUGUAAAAUAGAUAGCUACUGGGAAGCAGCACAUGGCACAGGGAGAUCAACUCGGUGCUUCGUUACCGCCUA
This is a long non-coding RNA of Orcinus orca (killer whale), 6883 nucleotides long. RefSeq lists it as uncharacterized. The record is from RefSeq and is a predicted model, not a curated record. Lineage: Eukaryota; Metazoa; Chordata; Mammalia; Artiodactyla; Delphinidae. The transcript has 4 exons.